UACGUAGGGUGCAAGCGUUGUCCGGAAUUAUUGGGCGUAAAGAGCUCGUAGGCGGUUCGUCACGUCGGCUGUGAAAACCUGAGGCUCAACCUCAGGCCUGCAGUCGAUACGGGCGGACUCGAGUUCGGCAGGGGAGACUGGAAUUCCUGGUGUAGCGGUGAAAUGCGCAGAUAUCAGGAGGAACACCGGUGGCGAAGGCGGGUCUCUGGGACGGUACUGACGCUGAGACGCGAAAGCCAGGGGAGCAAACGGG
Molecule: ribosomal RNA, 253 nt
Filed under: uncultured bacterium
Lineage: Bacteria
Description: partial 16S ribosomal RNA
Rfam family: Bacterial small subunit ribosomal RNA
Source: RNAcentral